ACCUGAGGAGCCCGUUAUUUACGCAGAAGUGAACACAAGUGCUGCAGAACUCGCUCCAACGUACGCUGAAAUCAAUAAGAACAGAGCCAAGCGAAACAGGAGAGAAAAACCUGCAGCAACAGAUGAAUCAGUUUAUUCUGAAAUCAAAUCAGGGGCAACUCUGGAAGGUGAAUCUGCCUUUUAGCACACCAUGCAAACUUAGAUGUUUGUGUACAUGCUUAUCUAUUUUGGUACUUUUAAAUAUAACUAAUAUAUGUCUCUGAUCCAAAAUGCUGUGAAAGUGUGAAAUAUAUAAUCAUCUAUUUUCUCUGUUACAUAAUUAAAACAUAUUUAGUUGUAUUAAGUGAUAC
Molecule: long non-coding RNA, 350 nt
Organism: Poeciliopsis prolifica (blackstripe livebearer)
Lineage: Eukaryota; Metazoa; Chordata; Actinopteri; Cyprinodontiformes; Poeciliidae
Exons: 3
Source: RefSeq, a predicted model, not a curated record